Molecule: ribosomal RNA, 497 nt
Filed under: Bacillus cereus
Lineage: Bacteria; Bacillati; Bacillota; Bacilli; Caryophanales; Bacillaceae
Description: bacterial SSU rRNA
Rfam family: Bacterial small subunit ribosomal RNA
Source: RNAcentral
ACGCUGGCGGCAUGCCUAAUACAUGCAAGUCGAGCGAAUGGAUUAAGAGCUUGCUCUUAUGAAGUUAGCGGCGGACGGGUGAGUAACACGUGGGUAACCUGCCCAUAAGACUGGGAUAACUCCGGGAAACCGGGGCUAAUACCGGAUAACAUUUUGAACCGCAUGGUUCGAAAUUGAAAGGCGGCUUCGGCUGUCACUUAUGGAUGGACCCGCGUCGCAUUAGCUAGUUGGUGAGGUAACGGCUCACCAAGGCAACGAUGCGUAGCCGACCUGAGAGGGUGAUCGGCCACACUGGGACUGAGACACGGCCCAGACUCCUACGGGAGGCAGCAGUAGGGAAUCUUCCGCAAUGGACAAAAGUCUGACGGAGCAACGCCGCGUGAGUGAUGAAGGCUUUCGGGUCGUAAAACUCUGUUGUUAGGGAAGAACAAGUGCUAUUUGAAUAAGCUGGCACCUUGACGGUACCUAACCAGAAAGCCCCGGCUAACUACGUGCCA